RNAcentral lists this ribosomal RNA (1458 nucleotides) under metagenome. Its description in RNAcentral is "bacterial SSU rRNA". It matches the Rfam family "Bacterial small subunit ribosomal RNA". The record is from RNAcentral.
AGCGAACGCUAGCGGGAUGCUUCAAACAUGCAAGUCGUACGCGAAAGGGGUUUCGGCCCCGAGUAGAGUGGCGCACGGGUGCGUAACACGUAGCUAACAUCCCUCUUCGCUGGGGAUAACUCCGGGAAACCGGAGCUAAUACCGAAUAAUCUGUCGAGGCCUGCGGGCCUUUAUAGUAAAGCCUUACGGCGCGAAGAGAUUGGGCUGCGGCCUAUUAACUAGUUGGUGAGGUAAUGGCUCACCAAGGUUACGAUAGGUAGCUGGUCUGAGAGGACGACCGGCCACACUGGAACUGACACACGGUCCAGACUCCCACGGGAGGCAGCAGUUGGGAAUAUUGGACAAUGGGCGAAAGCCUGAUCCAGCAAUCCCGCGUGAAUGAUGAAGGCCUUCGGGUCGUAAAGUUCUUUUAGUGGGGACGAAAAAAAUGACGGUACCCACAGAAAAAGCACCGGCUAACUCCGUGCCAGCAGCCGCGGUAAUACGGAGGGUGCAAGCGUUGCUCGGAAUCAUUGGGCGUAAAGCGCGUGUAGGCGGCUGGACAAGUCUGAUGUGAAAUCCUGGAGCUUAACUCCAGAACUGCAUCGGAUACUGUCUAGCUAGAGGGUGAGAGAGGAUGGUGGAAUUCCUGGUGUAGGGGUGAAAUCCGUAGAUAUCAGGAGGAACAUCGGUGGCGAAGGCGGCCAUCUGGCUCACUUCUGACGCUGAGACGCAAAAGCGUGGGGAGCAAACAGGAUUAGAUACCCUGGUAGUCCACGCCCUAAACGAUGGUCACUAGACGUCGGGUUUUCCAAUAGACUCGGUGUCGCAGCUAACGCAUUAAGUGACCCGCCUGGGAAGUACGGUCGCAAGAUUAAAACUCAAAGGAAUUGACGGGGGCCCGCACAAGCGGUGGAACAUGUGGUUUAAUUCGAUGCUACGCGAAAAACCUUACCUAGACUUGACAUCCUGUGCAAUCUGGAGAAAUUCAGGGUUCCCUUACGGGACGCAGAGACAGGUGCUGCAUGGCUGUCGUCAGCUCGUGUUGUGAGAUGUUGGGUUAAGUCCCGCAACGAGCGCAACCCUCGCCUUUAGUUACCAGCAUUAAGUUGGGGACUCUAAGGGACCGCUUGGCUAUAAGCCAGAGGAAGGUGGGGAUGACGUCAAGUCCUCAUGGCCUUUAUGUCUAGGGCUACACACGUGUUACAAUGGGUACCACAAAGCGCCGCAAGCUCGCGAGAGCAAGCCAAUCGCAAAAAUGUACCCUCAGUUCGGAUUGGAGUCUGCAACUCGACUCCAUGAAGCUGGAAUCGCUAGUAAUCGUGGAUCAGCACGCCACGGUGAAUACGUUCCCGGGCCUUGUACACACCGCCCGUCACACCAUGGGAGUGUAUUGUACCGGAAAUCGGUGAGCUAACUCGCAAGAGAGGCAGCCGCUUAUGGUAUGGUUCAUGACUGGGGUGAAGUCGUGACAAGGUA